Belonocnema kinseyi is the source of this 580-nucleotide long non-coding RNA. RefSeq lists it as uncharacterized. The transcript is spliced from 3 exons. NCBI's taxonomy places the organism in Eukaryota, Metazoa, Arthropoda, Insecta, Hymenoptera, Cynipidae. The record is from RefSeq and is a predicted model, not a curated record.
GAUACUAUUUUCAAAGCAUUUCAAAAUGUUACCUUUUCAGUCUCACUAGUAAACAAAAUUUCUGGAAAAAGAAACUUUCAAUCUAAAAAGUAAUUAUUAUGUGUUAGAAACCGUGUCAUUAUCUGCUACCGGCUGAACAAGUUUAUGAAAUCUUUAUACUAAGGGAGGAUUUUCCACUCAAAAAAGAAAAAAAUGUCUUUUAUUAGCACAUACUCUCGUUGAUAUUGAGAAAAGCACACUGUUUCAUAAAGGCUCUGUAAAUCUAGCUGAACAGGUUGAUUUUAAAAUACCAAUAUACACAUUACCAACGAUCGACCUUCAACAUUUUCUCGCAAUGCGUCCCACAACAGAAAUAUGGUACGACGAGGACGAUUACUUUUUAAAAAAUUAUUUAGAAAUAUUGGAAUCUACAAUGAAAGAAACAAGUUGGAAAAUGAGGCCACCUAUAUUAGAAGAAUUGAAAGUUACAGUAGCAACAGAAAGUGUAGCGGCAGGCAUUGACACGCUCCUGGAUCAUAAAAUCAUUGUAAAACUAAUAGGAGCAAAAUUAACAGAUAUUUUUUUAACUAACCAAGUCUAU